Molecule: ribosomal RNA, 264 nt
Filed under: uncultured archaeon
Lineage: Archaea
Description: partial 16S ribosomal RNA
Rfam family: Archaeal small subunit ribosomal RNA
Source: RNAcentral
ACACGACUACAUUAGAUACCCGUGUAGUCCUAGCCGUAAACGAUACUCGCUAGGUGUCGGCCACGGUGCGACCGUUGUCGGUGCCGUAGGGAAGCCGUGAAGCGAGCCACCUGGGAAGUACGGCCGCAAGGCUGAAACUUAAAGGAAUUGGCGGGGAGCACCACAACGCGUGGAGCCUGCGGUUUAAUUGGAUUCAACGCCGGAAAUCUUACCGGGACCGACAGCAACAUGAAGGCCAAGCUGAAGACUUUGCCGGAUUAGCUG